This 3077-nucleotide long non-coding RNA is filed under the name Homo sapiens (human). RNAcentral's name for it is "TRIM7 antisense RNA 2, transcript variant 4 (TRIM7-AS2)". The record is from RNAcentral. Lineage: Eukaryota; Metazoa; Chordata; Mammalia; Primates; Hominidae.
GCCCGUGCGUCCGUGGCACGGAACGGCCGUUAGUCCCGGCAGAGGGCUCCGCGAAGACAGUGCCGUCGUUGGGCGCGCGCGCGGGCGGGAGCUGUCGGGGCGGGGCGGCACCGCCGAGCUCCGAGCUGUGAGGACCGCCCCGGGCCUUGGGCGGGGCGGGGGCCAGGGAAGGGCGUGCGCAGGAUUGGGGAGCACGUUUUGCGUCUUGCUGUGCGUGAGGAAGCGGGGAUCCAGGUCAAGGCUAUGGAAAGGUCAGGGAAGGGUGUCAGUGCGCCCGUCCUGCAGGGAGUCCAGAUCCGAGAGGCAGGACUUUGAAAUGACCCUGUCCUCAGCCUGGAGGAUGCGGUAUUCUGAUUGUCUGGUGCUGUGUCAACUGGGCCUGCCUCUGGGAUAGUGUUGUGGCUGCCCCACGAGAACCCUAUAUGCCAGUUCCAGAAGCAAAAACAAAAAAAGUUCGGGUACAGCGGCUCACACCUGUAAUCCCAGCUCUUAGGGAGAUGGAAACUGGAGGAUCACUUGAGGCCAGGAGUUCAAGACCAGCCUGGGCAACAUAGCAAGACCCAGUCUCUUAAAAGAAAAUUAAAAAGAAAGAGUAAAUAAAGUUCCAGAAGCUUUGCUCUCCUUAUCCAAGCAGCGUUUGUACUUUGGCACUGGAAAGUGCGGGAGUCAGGGGUUUGUGAGAGCACGUGUUGGUUGUCGCAUUGGUCAGGAUGCACCCAUCACUCUGUAUCCUCCGGCUAAGGAGUGCUGGAGAGCCGUGAUGCCCACUGGCUGUUGUCCCGGGCUUGUCACUCAAAGACGGGACAGAUGUCUCCUUCCAGUUCUGGCCCAGACUGUCCUCUGAGCUGGGAGCACAGGGCUCCUCCCUGAGUAGAUGACCUGUCAGGUCAGCUGGAUCCAGAGGUCCCACAACCUCUCAAGGCAGAGCUGGCAGCUGUCCAGAAGGCAGCAGCCAUGAUAACAAACGUGGUUGGCCCAGGCCCAGACCUGCCCCCUGGCAACAGAGAACAGCAGGACUGGCUUUGACAUUGUUUUAGGGAGCCAGGCACCCUUCCCAGUCAGGGCAGAAGCCCCCUGGAGAGCUGGGCUCCUGACCUCACCGGCCUCCACCUCCUGAAGGCUCUGGCCAAAUCCACAUGUGACCUCAGGAAGGGAACACCCUCAGGAGUCCAAAGCCCCUGUUCCCCUGCUCGGUUGGCCACAGUCACUCUCCUGCCUCGGGGUUGUGUCUGUAGCAGGCUCUCUUGGGCAGCAGGGGUCAGGAGCACGGAGGGCAGACCCAAGACGGACCAGGCAUCUCUGGGGAGGCGACAUCCCCUCCCACCGGCAGCCCAGAGACAGGAGCUCCCCAGCAGUGCCCCUCAAGGCCAGAUUCGCAAGUAGGUGCCCGUGGAGCAAACAGAGAAAAGCGGGAACACGCGCUCCUGGAAGUUGACGCGGAAGGUGUAGAGGUGGCGCAUGUCCUCCACAGCGUAGAAGGACACGGCUCCCACCUCCAGGUCCAGGGCCACCCGCACGCGCGACAGGUGCCCGCAGCUGAGGGGCGACCGCUCGGGGCUGGUCACGGCCCAGUACUGGCCGCCGUUGAGCUGCAGGGCCCAGACGCCCUCCUCGGGAGUGAAGGGCGUCAGGCCCUUUCGGCGCACGCUCUCGCGGGCCACGCCAAAGGCCCAGCCGUCCUUAGAGCCCACCUCCACCUCCCAGUGAUGCCGGCCCGAGGAGAAGCCGCAGGACGCCAGGACGCGGGUGUUGGUGUCGAAGCGGCAGGGGUGGUUGGGCAGGUCCUGGGCCCGCUCGCCGAGGCGCACGCCCUUAAGAUCCAGAGAGAGGAUGAGGCGCGGGUUGGCCGUGUCGGGAUCCAAGGUGAGCUCCACUGCAGACAGAGACAGGGAGAAAUGUCCCCACGCAGCCAGGCCCCUGGCACAGUCUUUGCAGGGCCGCGCCCGACCUUGCUUUGCAACCUGCCUGCCUUUCCCUCUAGAAUCCCCCCAGCACCCAGCGCCAAGGCCCAACCAACCCCCACGCUCUGCCUCCCAGAGAUUUUGCUUCCCCCCGCCCCGACCACUCAACAAGUACUUACUGAAAUCAAACAAAUGCAAUGUGUGGGCCUGGUUUGAACCCCAAUUCAACAGAUGGGGAUAUUUGAAUGCUAGACAUUGGAAAGAAUCAUUAAUCUGUCCAGGUGUGAGGACUGCUUUGUGGUUAUGUUUUACAAAGUCUGUUUCUUUAGAGAUAACACACUGAGGUAUUUAUGGCAAUGAUAUGUUGUCUCUGAUGCUUUAAAAUAAUACAGUAGGCCAGGCGCAGUGGCUCACGCCAGUAAUUCCAGCACUUUGGGAGGCCAAGGUGUGUGGAUCACGAGGUCGGGAAAUCAAGAACAUCCUGGCUAACAUGGUGAAACCCCGUCUCUACUAAAAAUAAAAAAAUAAAAUAAAUUAGCCGGGCGUGGUGGCGGGCGCCUGUAGUCCCAGCUACUCGGGAGGCUGAGGCAGGAGAAUGGCAUGAACCCGGGAGGUGGAGAUUGCAGUGAGCUGAGAUCACGCCACUGCACUCCAGCCUGGGCGACAGAGCAAGACUCUGUCUCAAAAAUAAAAAUAAUAAUAACAAUAAUACAGUGGAGGCCGGGUGAGAUGGUGCACAGCUGCGAUACCAGCACUUUGGGAGGCCAAGGCCAAUGGGUCACAUGAGGUCAGAAGUUUGGGACCAGCUUGGGCAACAUGGCGGAAAACUUGUUUUGUAUUUUCUCUACUAAAAAUACAAAAAUUAGCCCGGCAUGGUGUCCUGUGCCUGUAAUUCCAGCUGUUUGGGAGGCUGAGGCAUGAGAAUCGCUUGAACCCAGGAGGCAGAGGUUGCAGUGAGCAGAGAUCAGGCCACUGUACUCCAUGAUCUCACUCCAGAGUAAGACCCUGUCUCAGAAAACAAAAUAAUCCCACAGGAAGUGGAUAGCAGUGUCUAUGAAAACUGUGGCCACUAAUUGAUCACUGCGGACGGUGAGAGAUGGGUAUGUAACAUUCUUUACACUCUUCUCUCUACUUUUGAGUAUGUUUGAAAUUUUUCAUAAUAAAAAGUUAAGGCCA